This is a transfer RNA of Candida tropicalis MYA-3404, 71 nucleotides long. It matches the Rfam family "tRNA". From Rfam's summary of the family: Transfer RNA (tRNA) molecules are approximately 80 nucleotides in length. Their secondary structure includes four short double-helical elements and three loops (D, anti-codon, and T loops). Further hydrogen bonds mediate the characteristic L-shaped molecular structure. tRNAs have two regions of fundamental functional importance: the anti-codon, which is responsible for specific mRNA codon recognition, and the 3' end, to which the tRNAs corresponding amino acid is attached (by aminoacyl-tRNA synthetases). tRNAs cope with the degeneracy of the genetic code in two manners: having more than one tRNA (with a specific anti-codon) for a particular amino acid; and 'wobble' base-pairing, i.e. permitting non-standard base-pairing at the 3rd anti-codon position. NCBI's taxonomy places the organism in Eukaryota, Fungi, Ascomycota, Pichiomycetes, Serinales, Debaryomycetaceae. The record is from Rfam.
GCCUCUGUAGCUCAAUGGUAGAGCAAUCGCUUGAAGCGUGAUCCGUCUGAGUUCAACUCUCAGCAUAGGCA